GCGCCCGUAGCUCAGUCGGCAGAGCAACUGACUUUUAAUCAGUGGGUCGUAGGUUCGAUUCCUACCGGGCGCACCA
RNAcentral lists this transfer RNA (76 nucleotides) under Rhodospirillaceae bacterium. RNAcentral describes it as "tRNA-Lys". It matches the Rfam family "tRNA". From Rfam's summary of the family: Transfer RNA (tRNA) molecules are approximately 80 nucleotides in length. Their secondary structure includes four short double-helical elements and three loops (D, anti-codon, and T loops). Further hydrogen bonds mediate the characteristic L-shaped molecular structure. tRNAs have two regions of fundamental functional importance: the anti-codon, which is responsible for specific mRNA codon recognition, and the 3' end, to which the tRNAs corresponding amino acid is attached (by aminoacyl-tRNA synthetases). tRNAs cope with the degeneracy of the genetic code in two manners: having more than one tRNA (with a specific anti-codon) for a particular amino acid; and 'wobble' base-pairing, i.e. permitting non-standard base-pairing at the 3rd anti-codon position. The record is from RNAcentral. Lineage: Bacteria; Pseudomonadati; Pseudomonadota; Alphaproteobacteria; Rhodospirillales; Rhodospirillaceae. RNAcentral also lists the same sequence under 1 other name.